UACGUAGGGGGCUAGCGUUGUCCGGAAUCAUUGGGCGUAAAGAGCGUGUAGGCGGUCCGGUAAGUCCGCUGUGAAAGUCGGGGGCUCAACCCUCGAAUGCCGGUGGAUACUGUCGGGCUAGAGUGCGGAAGAGGCGAGUGGAAUUCCUGGUGUAGCGGUGAAAUGCGCAGAUAUCAGGAGGAACACCGGUGGUGUAGACGGCUUUCUGGACCGUAACUGACGCUGAGACACGAAAGCGUGGGUAGCAAACAGG
This 253-nucleotide ribosomal RNA is filed under the name uncultured bacterium. RNAcentral's name for it is "partial 16S ribosomal RNA". It matches the Rfam family "Bacterial small subunit ribosomal RNA", at positions 524 to 776 of the family's 1533-position model. The record is from RNAcentral.